RNAcentral lists this ribosomal RNA (1355 nucleotides) under metagenome. RNAcentral's name for it is "bacterial LSU rRNA". It matches the Rfam family "Bacterial large subunit ribosomal RNA", at positions 1552 to 2925 of the family's 2925-position model. The record is from RNAcentral.
UAUGGGAAGACGUGAUGUGGAGUGAAAUAUAGUAACGAAGCCCGUGAGCCAUGCGUCAAGAAAAGCCGCUAUUGUUUAUAUUGUACCCGUACCGUAAACCGACACAGGUGGAUGAGGAGAGAAUCCUAAGGCCGGCGGAAGAAGUAUUGCCAAGGAACUCGGCAAAAUGGCCCCGUAACUUAGGGAGAAGGGGUGCCUGCGAGAGCAGGCCGCAGAGAAUAGGCUCAAGCAACUGUUUAGCAAAAACACAGGUCUAUGCGAAACCGAAAGGUGAGGUAUAUGGGCUGACGCCUGCCCGGUGCUGGAAGGUUAAGAGGAGAGGUUAGACGCAAGUCGAAGCUUUGAAUUUAAGCCCCAGUAAACGGCGGCCGUAACAAUAACGGUCCUAAGGUAGCGAAAUUCCUUGUCGGGUAAGUUCCGACCCGCACGAAAGGCGUAAUGAUUUGAGCGCUGUCUCGGCAAUACAUCCGGUGAAAUUGAAGUGCCAGUGAAGAUGCUGGCUACCCGCGCCAGGACGGAAAGACCCCAUGGAGCUUUACUCCAGUUUGGCACUGGGGUCCGGUGUUGCAUGUACAGGAUAGGUGGGAGGCUGAGAGAUAGUGACGUCAGUUGCUAUGGAGCCGCUGUUGGGAUACCACCCUUGUGAUAUUGGGCUUCUAACCAGCCGCCGUGAACCGGCGGUGGGACAAUGCCAGGCGGGGAGUUUGACUGGGCGGUCGCCUCCGAAAGGGUAUCGGAGGCGCCCAAAGGUUCCCUCAGAAUGGACGGAAACCAUUCGAAGAGUGCAAAGGCAGAAGGGAGCUUGACUGCGACACCGACGGGUGGAGCAGGUACGAAAGUAGGGCUUAGUGAUCCGGUGGUAUUAAGUGGGAAUGCCAUCGCUCAACGGAUAAAAGCUACCCUGGGAUAACAGGCUUAUCACUCCCAAGAGUUCACAUCGACGGAGUGGUUUGGCACCUCGAUGUCGGCUCAUCGCAUCCUGGGGCUGUAGUAGGUCCCAAGGGUUGGGCUGUUCGCCCAUUAAAGCGGUACGCGAGCUGGGUUCAGAACGUCGUGAGACAGUUCGGUCCCUAUCCGGCGUGGGCGUAGGAUAUCUGAGAGGAGCUGUCCUUAGUACGAGAGGACCGAGAUGGACGGACCGCUGGUGGACCGGUUGGCUUGCCAAAGCCAUGGCCGGGUAGCCAAGUCCGGAAGGGAUAAACGCUGAAGGCAUCUAAGCGUGAAGCCCCCCUCAAGAUGAGAUAUCCCAUUCUUUAAGAAGUAAACCCCCUUGAAGACGACGAGGUAGAUAGGGCAGAGGUGGAAGUGUGGUAACACAUGGAGCUGACUGUUACUAAUCGGGUGAGGGCUUGACC